GCUGGGUGUGGUGGCGUGCACCUAUAGUCCCAGCUACUCAGGAGGCUGAGGCAGGAGGAUCACCUGAGUCUGGGGAGGUUAAGGAUGCAGUGAGCCCUGAUGGCACCACUGCAUUUUUGCCUGGGCAACAGUGUAAGACCUUGUCUCAA
This 149-nucleotide non-coding RNA is filed under the name Pan paniscus (pygmy chimpanzee). RNAcentral also lists the same sequence under 1 other name. Lineage: Eukaryota; Metazoa; Chordata; Mammalia; Primates; Hominidae. The record is from Rfam by way of RNAcentral.